UCUGGGUCCUUUAUUAUUUUG
RNAcentral lists this non-coding RNA (21 nucleotides) under Arabidopsis thaliana (thale cress). Lineage: Eukaryota; Viridiplantae; Streptophyta; Magnoliopsida; Brassicales; Brassicaceae. The record is from RNAcentral.